GCUGCCUGUCUGCAGUGGGCUGAUUCAGCUUGUUCCCGGCCCUGCUAAUUUUUGAAAGGCUGUUGUCAAAGCCAAGUGGAGCUGUCAAUCAGGGAAGUCACGUGAGGGUCCCAGGAGUCAUCAUGAUUGCCUCACUCCAGGCUUUUGUUCCAGGAGUGAGGAUGAUAUUUGCGAGCUGGUAGGCACCUUGUCCUGCCCACCUGUCCCUCAUGCUUGCUGUGCACUUCUGGAGGGUUGGGACUGAUGGGGAGUCAGAGGCUCAAUAGGGGCAGUGACGGGUCUUUGACUACAGUGGCAGGGCCAGGGAACAGGCAGCUCCUGCUCCAGGCUCUUUACCUCCUGUAGGCCACUUUCACCCUGUUGGUGAUGAGGCCAGCUUCAGCCUGCUGCAGAUCCAUUUCCUUCUCUGUAAAUGCCUUUUUCUGUUUUCAUGAUCUAUCCAAGGUCCUGUGGCCAAAAGAUCCCAGGGUGAGGGCCCAAACCAGGCCUCAUGUGCUACUAUUCCUCACUCUGUAAGGGAAGGACACAGGAAGGAUCAGAGCCAUGGAGGAGAGGAAAAGGACUUCUGAAAUCAAAGCUCAUGUUCCUAAGUACUUACAGUGCCCCGGGCUAAGUUGUACUUUGUAGUACUACCUGGAAAGUAGGUACCGGAAUCCUACCCAUUUUACAAAGAGGAAGCAAGGCAUGUCUUGAUGAAGCACCUGCUUGGAUCACCUACUUGGGCUGGGGUGGAGUUGGGAUUCCAACCCAGGAGGCAGAAUAGUAAGCCUGCCCUUAGUCACUUCACUCAACGACAGUGGCGUUAAAUCUUUCAUCUGUUUAUAUUAGACCUGGGGAAACUGAGGCCCUGCAUAUGAGUCAUUUCCAGCAGGAAUAUUGGAAGCCGAACACCCACAUGGCUCGGACCCUGUGAAGAGGUUCUGGGAGAGGGCUCCUUGGGUUGGCCCUUUGCUGUCUGUUUGUGACAAGCCCUUGACACCCUAAACAGUGGUGUCCUGGAGAAACAAGGAUGAUAGGCAGAGGCCCUGGCACAGUGGCUGUGACCAGAUCAGAGAAUGACUGGGAAGGAGAGGCUCAGGGAUGGGGCUGUGCUUCAUGCCCAGUCAGAAGAGCUCGCAGUGGGGCGAAGAGGGUACAGGGAAUUUCUUGCUGGGGUGCACAGGACUGGCUUCUGCCUCUCACAGCUGAGCAAGUGCAUGGCUGGGGUAGGACCACAGCAGCUAGGGGUUAGAGUUAAUUUCCCAUUCCCUGGUAAGAAUUGAGCAGCUACAUGUGCUCUGGAAUUGUUAGCAAGUGUACAGCAAGUAGACACUGAACAGGCAGUGUUGCUGACUCCUGGGCAGAGGGGACUUGGGACAUUAGGGCACUUCCUGUGGAGGACAGCAAAGGAGGCUUGGCGGAAAUGAUUUCCAAGAUGAACCUUGAAAUAUGAAGAGGAGCAAUGCAGGCAGAGGGAACAGCCUGGGCUAAGGCUCCGAGGCCUUGGUGGUUUCCUGCUCUAAAUGCCAGUCUCACCAUCCUAACAGCAGAGGUAGGAGUGGCCACGUUAUGACAACCUGCAUUCUGCUCACAUGAGCCAGCUUCCUUGUGGAUGAGUCAAAAGGCCUCCCUUGUGGCCUCUCCGAAGGGUGGGGUCCCGUGGAGCUGCCAAGGCCUCCCACCCCCACAGCACAGUGUCACCACUUUCACAGCCACCACCCUCCUGGAGCCAAGAAGUGAAGAAAUUGGUUAAACAAGGAAGAGACACACCCUCAGCUCAGAUUUGCUUGGAAGGCCAGUGAUUUCCACUCUUUCUUUUCAAAACAACCACACAGUUCUGGGACCCAAAUGUUGAUUGUCCUCAUGGAGGAAUGAGUCUCUGUCCACAGCAAGAACAUUCCAGAAAUGUCCAUCCAGCAUCGUCAGUGCGCCAGACAUCCAGGAGGGCCCACAGAUGGACCACACCUUGUCCAUGUUCCCAGGACGCUCCCUCCUACAAAACCACACACCCGAUGAUGGGCCAGGAGGUCUUGGAUGAACCCAGAAACUGGCUCUGAGCCCCAACUUUCCCUGUUGGUCCAUGCCACCCCUCUCCACCUUAUACCAGACUCACCCUGGAGGGAUGGCUGCCCCCUCCAAAUCCCACCCCAGAUUCCUAGCUGGCUCCAGAGACUCCGUGGAGUAGUGUGACUACCCACAGGGACCUAGCAUCUCCAGGCUCCACCACAGCCAAGUUUAGCUCUGCACCCUGUCGCCCAGAUGCUCCUGCUCACCAGCCUCCCAACCUCUCCCACCCAGUUCUUGCACCCUCAGAAGGGUGGCCUGAGAGAAGACGCCCUCCGAGCACCAUGUCACCAUGCUGUCCUUGUGCUUUUUACCAGGGAAGUCAAGGUCAAGCCCUGGGUGGGUGCUGGACUGGGAGACAGGAUAGCUGGCCCUUGUUUGGCCCAUCUCUGACUGCUCCAUGACUCCAGGCAAGUUACUGAACUCAGCACCAGGGGUUGCAGAACUGACCACAGAUGGCCUAGACUCAGCAGAAGAAAUGACUGAUGUGGGCAAGUUUUGGAAAGCAAAGUACUACAACAAAUGAAAGUGUUUGGCCUAGGUGUUCGAUUAGUUUCUAAUUUUCUCUCAGUUUGAUUUCACCUGAUCCCUUUCCUUCCCCACGAAGGAUAAUUAAUCAUGAAACCACUUAGGGAGCUCCUACCAUGUCCCAAGUACACUAUCAACAUCAUUCCCAAAGUGAGAGAUUUUACAGAAGAGGGGACCCAGGCUCAGAUCGACAGAGGAGACUCUUCGUUCUCCCCUUGGACAUCUGCGCUGGUUUCCUUCCUCCUGUGCAGUGUGGACUCUUACGAAGGUCCUGGGAUCCACCCCUUGCCUGAUGGAUGUGCACACCAUGCUGUGGACCUCUCCUAGCAGCUGGGGUGUGUGUGUGUGUGUGUGUGUGUGUAGGGGACAGAGGAGGGGACACAAAGUACCAGGACCCACAGCUUUCUGGGCUUCCUUGGUGAGUGAGCAGGAGCUUAGCUCAUGGUUCUUUUCUAUCCAUGCCUGGUCAUUUAAAAGUGCCAACUCUUAGUGUGCUUCUUUGGGAGCCCUACAUCCCCUUCUCUCCAUUUCCCUGUGUUAGUACCCUUGAAAACCAGCCCUGAGAAUCUUCUCUUUUAAAGGGACACCUAGGGAGGCCAUGAAAGCCAGGUGUCACUGUCCCGGCAGCCUGAGCGGUGUCCAUGUGCAGCUGCCGCAGAGCUGGCCGUGUUGUCAUGGUGAACUAGGCCAGGGGUCUCAGCUCACAGUGGCUCAAGGUCAUCAUCCAUGUGCCAGCUACUCCAGAUAAUUCAGACUGUCCCUCUCCCAUGGGAGACCCUUUUGGUCUCCCAAGUGUGGGGCCUAGUAGCUUCCUUCAGCCUUGAUCUCUCUGCCUUCCUGCCUCUGUGGCUCAGCCUCCGCUCAGGGCCUGCCCUGCUCUGCACCUUGGCAGGUCCAGUAGCCAGACCAGUUGCCCGGGUUGGGGUGGCAUUCCUGGUGUCCCUGCAGAGGACCCAUCUAUGUUGCUUUUGCCAGCUCCUGUGAGGGCCCGUGGCUUCCUAGCGUUCCACUUGGAUUGUGCAUCUGUCCUUGGAGCCUCUGGUCACUCCAGUGGCACCAGUGACCAUGAAGUGGGCUGUGUGGUGAGCACUGCAACCUUGUGUGGCUAUAUGGGGUACUUUAGUUUUGCUUCCUUGGUAACAUCUUCCGGUUUCCAACCUCUCAGUGUGGAUUUCUGCAUCAUGAGCACCAAGACUGGCACCACCAGGAAUAUUUGCUGAGCAGGUAAAUGAGGGCAUUUAGGAAGAUCCCUUGAGGAAUAAUAAGUGGUGGAGCCCAGUCUUCAGGAGCUGCAGGAAUUUCCUAGGUGAAUAAAGGGUGAUGAAAUCUGUGCCAGUAGAAGACACAUGAGCAAGGACUUGGGGUGUAAGUGAGAGAGAGUGAGUACUGGGCAGCUAGUGGAGAAGCUCCCUGAGCUCAUGAGUAAGGCAAGAACAGGCCGGAAAUGGGGUGCAGGUGAGAUCACUGGGAAAGAAAGGGUAAAUUGGAGAAUUCGGAUAGCUCUGAAGGCCACACUUGGAGAUUUAGACCCGAACUUGCUAAGAGUCACUGGGAAUUUUUCAGAAAGGGAAUGAUAGUAUUUUAUUUACUUAGUUUUUAGGUCAGUUUCCAUGGAAGUGAAUAGAACACAGACUAAUCUCGGGAAUUCUAGAGCUAGGAGGAUAUCUGGAGCAUUCAAAGGCACACAGGGUAUAGCCUUUAAAAAUACAUAUUUAAUAAAGCCCCAAAUAGCAAUAAAAGGACCAGCAAACCUAAAGACAAGCUACAGUGAGAACAAUGGAUUUUCAAAUUAUUCUGUUAUUUACAUGGAAUCAAAGAGAUCACCUUCCUGGAAGGACCCGCCUGUUAAUUCCAGUGGCGAUACUGGAGUGGAUUGAACUCUACUUUACUUUUUGCUAGAUCAAAAUAAUUUGAUGUUUUCAUGAGCGGCUCAUGCAGCCAUCAGAAGAUAAUUAUUCAGGAAAUAAAGAGUGAGUCUCUUAGCCUUA
This is a long non-coding RNA of Heterocephalus glaber (naked mole-rat), 4559 nucleotides long. RefSeq lists it as uncharacterized. Lineage: Eukaryota; Metazoa; Chordata; Mammalia; Rodentia; Bathyergidae. The record is from RefSeq and is a predicted model, not a curated record.